Long non-coding RNA from Mercenaria mercenaria, 1145 nucleotides. RefSeq lists it as uncharacterized. Lineage: Eukaryota; Metazoa; Mollusca; Bivalvia; Venerida; Veneridae. The record is from RefSeq and is a predicted model, not a curated record. The transcript is spliced from 2 exons.
AGUUGCUAGUUAAGCUAUUAUGCCAUUUCUGUAAUUCAGUAAAUCUUCACUAGACAAUGUAAUACGUAAUUGUAUGUAUAGUGAUUUAGUACCAUACAACCUUCUCCGUUUAAAUGUUUUGUAUAUCCUUGUAUUAUUUGUCUCGCCAUUAUAUUGAUUGUAAAUCCUCAUGGGCCUUUUGGCCUAAUGGAAUAUUUGAAAUAAACUUAUCAAACUUAUCAAAACUUAUCAAACUUAUAUAAACAAUAUUAACAACUGUUGGAGAAAACAAUUCAAAAAGGAUAUUUGCUAGAUAUUUUGUGUCAUUGUUUCGUGAAAUAAUUGUGUUAAUACAAAAUAUCUUUUGCGUUAUAUAUGGAGAUCUCACAACAUCCCAGCAAGAAACCUUUUCCGGAAGAAACAGAUUCGACAAAUUAAUUUUCAAGGUAGCGAUAGAACAUUGCCGAUGCCUUAGUAUGGAACUUAGCAUGGGCAAGGAGAAGCAAGAUAGAUCAUGGAAACAGGUGGUUAGAUAUACGAUCAAGACUGUUUAAAUACAUAUUUGAUUAAUCCGUGAUAUUUCAAAACAAACUUCAAGAUGAUAUAUUACGAACAUCUGGCCAACAGAAUAAUAACAAUGAUGAUGAUGGUGAUGAUGUUGAUGUUGAUGAUGAUGAUGAUGAUGAUGAUAAGGUGAAGAGGAAAAGAAGUAGAAGUAAAAGAAGAAGAGGAAGGAUGAUGAUGUUGUUUUUAUUAUUAUUAUGGAUAAUGAUGAUGAUGAUGAUGAUGAUGAACUUUAUUUAAACGAGGAUAACAUACUCAAAUUAUAGAUAGUCUAACGUGUAGUCAUUUAAACACAAUGAUUUUGAAAUUCAGUUCUUGACAUGUAACUUAGACGGUAAAUGGCAGAAUGUAAAUGUGAUAAAACAUAUCCAUAGUGGCAUGUAGAUAUAAUUGUUUAAAGAGUAUGUAGUACCGCGAAGACUAUAAGAUUCUUUCACUAAUUGUCGGUUCCGGCCUGAGGGUAACUGUUUAGGAGGUAAUGAGGCUCUGUCGAGUUACCGCGUAAACAGGUGCCCGAGAGCCGGAUAUUCCCACCAGUGGUAGAAUUUUUAUCUUGCAUACCAUAUUCAUGAAAAAAAGUAAAAAUAAAAUCAAACGAAAUA